UACGUAGGGUGCAAGCAUUAAUCGGAUUUAUUGGGCGUAAAGGGCGCGUAGGCGGAUAGUCAAGUCGUAUGUGAAAUUUCGGGGCUCAACCUCGAAGCGGCAUAUGAAACUAACUAUCUAGAGGGUAGAUGGAGAGAACGGAAUUCCACAAGUAGCGGUGAAAUGCGUAGAUAUGUGGAAGAACACCAGUGGCGAAGGCGGUUCUCUAAUUUAUUCCUGACGCUGAGGCGCGAAAGCAAGGGGAGCAAACAGG
Molecule: ribosomal RNA, 253 nt
Filed under: uncultured bacterium
Lineage: Bacteria
Description: partial 16S ribosomal RNA
Rfam family: Bacterial small subunit ribosomal RNA
Source: RNAcentral